Molecule: long non-coding RNA, 2308 nt
Organism: Peromyscus maniculatus bairdii (prairie deer mouse)
Lineage: Eukaryota; Metazoa; Chordata; Mammalia; Rodentia; Cricetidae
Source: RefSeq, a predicted model, not a curated record
UCAAAGAAAAUCUUGUUGCUGAUGCAGGCAUAGAAGAAGGUGACACCCGGGUCAUGCCAGGGAGCCACAUAAAGCUCCCAGUGUUGGCUCAAAGGACAAGGAUCACAGCUGAAGGGAAGGGGUGGCCAAAGAGCCUCGGCAGACAGCAAUCCCGUGGCAUCUACUUUGCCAAAUGCUAAAAGAGUGUCAAAGGGGAGCCAGGAGAGAAUGAAGACCCCGAUGGCUUCUCCUUUCUCCAAGUGACAAAGAGUUAGAAGACCUAGGGUGCUGGAUUCAAGGGAGCAGUGAGCACACGAGAAGCAUUGUCUGAGGAUGAGGAGACAAGUUCCCGGCGCUGACACCUCUGUGGGCAGUAUGACCCGCUGCUGUUGAACACCUUCUCUCGGGAUUCUGAUCAAUCUUUUGGAAUAAUAUUGAUUGAAAUUUUUUUAAACAUAUUUUAUUUUUAAUUUAUGUGUAUAUCUGUGUAUCUCUGUGUGGGUUAGUGUACACAAGUUCAGGUGCCAGCCGAGGCCAGAGGCAUCAAAUACCCGGGAGCUGCAGCGACAGGUGGUGCAUCUUGACUUGAGCUCUUUAGACACAAUCAUCCUCCAUCUAAUGAAAAUCUGACCAACCUAGUCUGCACCAGCACAAAUGAGAUUCCCGUGGAGGUCAACAGGUGCAGAUGGAGCUUCUGGUCAAAGUGGCGUCUGGUGCAGGUCUGACCACGUCUUGCAGGCUGAAUACAUCUGUGGAGGUAUCAGUGUGGUGCUGUUCUACAUGACGGAGUUUAAACUAGCCCUGUGUAAUGAUGAACCGAGACAACCGGAUCCAAAUGUACUUUGGAAUCCAUUAAAACGAGAAGACAGAGGCCGAAGCUCACACCUGAGACGGAACUGAGGAUAAUCCACAGAGAAGGAUGGGAUGAGGCAGGAUGGAGAGGGCACAGAAUGGACUUUCGGAAUAGUUCUGCGGAAGCCAGCUGCAAUGUUUAAAGAGCAGGCUGUCAUGUGGCAUGGUGUUGCUAUAGAAUACUGGGUGAGCCAGAAGAGAGUCCCUCUGGCUUGCUCACAUUGGACCUGCAUGGGAUUUACUGGCUAGGCUGGGUCUGGUAAUCCACACACAUACGGCAAAGAACAACCCUGCCAGGUGUCCAUGCUUGUUUAGGAAAGGGCAGUUGCAGGAGUGGAGAGCAUGGAGAAAAGAAAGCAGAGUUGUUCUUUUCCUUUUUAGCUGUCCUUGCUUAGUGAGUGGCAGCCAUUUUUAUACAAGCAUGCUAGCAUUUUUUUCAUUACACCCAGCAGUGAGUUAAAUGCUUCACGUUCCGAACACACAACCCUAGAGCAACCAUGCUUAUUAUUCCUCCCUUAUACAUUGUCAAUCUGAGGAAGAGGCCCAUCCAUAAUCUAUCCAACCGUGUGGUUUGGAAGCGGUAGAGCUGAGAGUCAUACCUAGGCCCACGUGACACCAGAACCCAUUGCUCUGUGUCACUAUAUUUCACCUCCUCUGGAGGCCACCAAAUGUUCCCCUUGGAUUCCGGACUGGAGUGGACUGUGGGAAGAACUUGGGUUGUUAGGAAUCGUGGCCUAACCCUUGGAACUUCGCCUGGGUGAAGACUGACAGUGCUCAGCACACAUCCUCUCUGGGACCACGUGACACUCUCCCUCCGUGCCACCAGUGACGUGGCUGAGACGUGCAUCCCAGUAAGAGGGUGGGAUGAGAGAGGGAAGCAAAGCCAUACCUCCUCCGAGAACCGGAAGCGUCCUUCAGCUUGACCACCCGAUUUCACCACAAGGAACUGAAGGUUGAUUUGUUAGAGAUGAUAAAGGGGCACAUUCAUAUUUUCCCAUGGCUGAGGGCUGUUGGCCAGAGUCAGGCAGCUUAGAUGGGAGAAGAAAGCUCAGAGGGGCGCAAGAGGGGAUGCAUCAUAAGGAAAGGCAAAGUAAGUUUUAAAAAAAAGGUCCCCCCCCUUUCUCCCCUUUCUUGCCUCUGUCCCUGUCUUCCUUUUCACUCAAUGCCAUUAAGUGAUGGAAGGGCUUUUUCUGGGAACAGGACUUUGAUUGAAAAUGUGUGAGCCAGAAUAAUGUUCUGUUUUAAUAAUUUAUAUUUACAGUACUGGGUGGGAAGCAAGGCUUGUGUCCUAUGGUCUGUGUCAAUAUUAGAGUCUAUAAUCGUCUUCUAUAAUCUCUCUUUUCCUUCUCCCAUUUGUCAUUGACAUUCUGGAAGAGGAGAGCUGGAACUUUAAAGAUAACUAUAUUUCCUUGCUAUAAGUGCUACUCACUCCUUGGGUAGGAUGGGCUUUAUUUUAAAAAAAGAAAGAAAGAGAGAG